Molecule: long non-coding RNA, 1030 nt
Organism: Vitis riparia (riverbank grape)
Lineage: Eukaryota; Viridiplantae; Streptophyta; Magnoliopsida; Vitales; Vitaceae
Exons: 4
Source: RefSeq, a predicted model, not a curated record
CCAGGGUGGGUACAACAUCAAGAAAUGGGAAGCCAUAUAAGAAUAGAGCUUCCUAUGAAUUGGUAUGAAGAUGACCACUUCCUUGGAUUUGGAUUUUUCUGUCUUCAUCAUCAAUCAAAAAUACUUUCCUUAUCUUUGAAAUUUGAUGAAGAAGAAUAUGCUAUAGUUAUAGUAGAACUUUUCUGUAGAGAUCGACCAUCGCCACGAGAUUAAUGAUAGUGAAUCAGAUCAAGUGUUGCUAGUGUACUAUCCUAAGAUUUCUUUUAGGGACGAGUUCCACUCCAAUCAUUAUAUGCACCUUCAGGCUUCAUUUGAUGAUUAUUGGGGCGAAAUCAAAAGUUGUGGGGUUCAUCUUAUAUACUCUCAAGACGAUCAACAAAACCAUAUCUUGUCGGUAGAUUUUCUUGGCACCCAAGAUGAUGAAGACAACCAUAAGCCUAUGUUGUUGAAUAUUGAGAAUUUUGGUGACAACAGAUCAACAACAAAAUCUAUCAAGAGAAGUCCUGAUGGCGCAGAACAUAACCAAGCAGAGGAACCACACCAUAAAAGAUUGAGAGAACAUAACCAAAAUUCAUCUCAAGCUUUAAACUCAAACACCAACUAGCAGGACUCGAAUUCUGUCAUUAGAACUUUCCUUCAAUUCCUGGAUUUGAAGAAGAAUAAUCAAGAAUUUGAGCCACAUUUGCCAUGGAAGAAAAGUGGUUGCUACCGCGGGACAUAGGUAGCUGCUGCCAUAUAUGCACCAGUGGCGGGCCUUCACCGCUACAAUAACAUCACUAUAUAUAGACCAGUGCCUCCCGCUCACCCCCACUGCAAAACCCAUUCACGGUGUUGAUGCCAUUCCCAUUCCCAUUCCCUUCCUCUAACAAUGAGCAGUAUUCAGACGAAAAGAAAUUUUGCAGCUUGAGAUCCCUUCAGGACAUAUACACAGAAGAUCUUUCACCUGAACAUAUACACAAAGGACUCCUAGUUUCUGUUAGUCCGAAGUCAUAGAUUGAUCUUGACUACAGUUGAUUCUGGUAGCAGGCCC